UACGUAGGGUGCGAGCGUUGUCCGGAAUUAUUGGGCGUAAGGAGCUCGUAGGCGGUUUGUUGCGUCGGCCGUGAAAACCUGCAGCUUAACUGUGGGCCUGCGGCCGAUACGGGCAGACUUGAGUUCGGUAGGGGAGACUGGAAUUCCUGGUGUAGCGGUGAAAUGCGCAGAUAUCAGGAGGAACACCGGUGGCGAAGGCGGGUCUCUGGGCCGAUACUGACGCUGAGGAGCGAAAGCGUGGGGAGCAAACAGG
This 253-nucleotide ribosomal RNA is filed under the name uncultured bacterium. Its description in RNAcentral is "partial 16S ribosomal RNA". It matches the Rfam family "Bacterial small subunit ribosomal RNA", at positions 524 to 776 of the family's 1533-position model. The record is from RNAcentral.